Molecule: long non-coding RNA, 1498 nt
Organism: Acyrthosiphon pisum (pea aphid)
Lineage: Eukaryota; Metazoa; Arthropoda; Insecta; Hemiptera; Aphididae
Exons: 5
Source: RefSeq, a predicted model, not a curated record
UACAUGACAAAAUAUUUUGCGAUUAUGGUGUAUUUUAAAUUUCGUUUUUGUUGUGAAAAUGUUAUUUUUCGUUGUUCGGGUUAAGAACGAGGCUAAGAGUAAAUUUCUCGAUGUCGUCAAAUGUUUCACAGUUUCAGGUGUUCCAGAGACAUUAUAUUAAUUGUUGUCUGUAUAAUAGAUGUGCAUUUCUACGUUAUGAUUUGUGUGUCAAAUGUAUAUCAUGUAAACCACUUGUUUUCAUAAAUAAAACGUUUGUUGUCCUGAUGUCCAUAACCAGCGAUUCUGAUCACUUGUAAUACUUGUACGUGCCGGUGUGCUGUGGUUGAAUGGACGAUUUUGUUUUGGGAAUUCAGCGUCGUGCGUUCAGCAGUGUUGUUGUCUUAUCGAUCGCGCAUCAAACACGGUUUGGAAACUAUUACUUAUUAUUAACACUACACAAUUACGACCAUUCCAAGUUAUGAUUAAAGUUGAUUUGAGAAUUAUCCUCACUUUUGGCAACUAGCUUAUCUACACAUUCUUGAUGAAUCAGUUUACUACACAUCUCAUAUAGCUACAUAGUCUAUCGCACAAGCCUCAUGAUUCUCCAUUAGUAUAUUUUCAAUAUUCAUUGAAGAAAAAUGUAAGCUCACUGCAUUUAUUCAAGAACUGAACUGCAUCACUUUCAAAUCCACAAUUUCCACUUUUGGACGGUUCCAAUGAAGUAUUGAACAUGCACAUAUGGAUCGCUGAAUGAAAUUUUGUAGCGUCAGGUGUGACAUUAUUACCUCCUUUUGACCUUACUAUUGAAAACACAUUUUCUACACAGUCUUGCGUUAGUCUUUUUGUUAAUAAAAUAUCUAUUUUAUUCUUUUCAUUUAAUUUGUUAAAUAACAUUUUCAAAGCACUCAUAUUUUCUUUCCAACCUACUAUGCAUGGGGGUAAUUUAUCAGUUUUAUUGUGAACUUGUACAAAUAUCUGUUCUGUUUCAUUAAAAAUAGUUCAAUGAUCAGAAAUUUUAGUUAAUGGCUGUUGCCUCACUAUGUGUUAUGCUGUUAAAAACAUCAAAUAAAUUAUCAAACAAUUCUAUAAUUUUUGCUGUAUGUAUAGCUGAACUUUUCAUUUCAUUUACUGAAAUUGAAGUCACCAUUCCAGAACUAACAGAAUGGCUUAGUGUUUGGGUUGCCAAACAAACACGCAUUGGCGAGAAUGGCGGUAGAUCCAUGUAAAUUUUAUUUAAUCGAAUAGCUAACCUUAGCUUUUUGUUUUUGUCUAAAUUAUAAAAAUCUAAUAAAUCUGACCAUCUACAAGAAUCACUGUCAUAACUAAAAUUGUAUUUUUUUAUAUUAUUUUUCACUGAAUAAAUGUUUUCAUCAUUGAAGUUGAUGAAUGGUUGUGUUUCUGUGGCUCCAAAAAAUUUUCUCAUACCAAUAUUAUUGGUUUCUUGGUAACAUAUGAUAACUUUUGGAAUAAUACAAGCAUCUUUAACUUAAUAACAUCUGUAAUAAUGUUUUUAAGUCUA